This 517-nucleotide ribosomal RNA is filed under the name uncultured Comamonadaceae bacterium. RNAcentral's name for it is "bacterial SSU rRNA". It matches the Rfam family "Bacterial small subunit ribosomal RNA", at positions 8 to 526 of the family's 1533-position model. Lineage: Bacteria; Pseudomonadati; Pseudomonadota; Betaproteobacteria; Burkholderiales; Comamonadaceae. The record is from RNAcentral.
AGAGUUUGAUCCUGGCUCAGAUUGAACGCUGGCGGCAUGCCUUACACAUGCAAGUCGAACGGUAGAGGGGCAACCCUUGAGAGUGGCGAACGGGUGAGUAAUGCAUCGGAACGUGCCCAGUCGUGGGGGAUAACGCAGCGAAAGCUGUGCUAAUACCGCAUGUGAUCUGUGGAUGAAAGCAGGGGACCGCAAGGCCUUGUGCGAUUGGAGCGGCCGAUGUCAGAUUAGCUAGUUGGUAGGGUAAAAGCCUACCAAGGCGACGAUCUGUAGCUGGUCUGAGAGGACGACCAGCCACACUGGGACUGAGACACGGCCCAGACUCCUACGGGAGGCAGCAGUGGGGAAUUUUGGACAAUGGGCGCAAGCCUGAUCCAGCAAUGCCGCGUGCAGGACGAAGGCCUUCGGGUUGUAAACUGCUUUUGUACGGAGCGAAACGGUCUGGGUUAAUACCCUAGGCUAAUGACGGUACCGUAAGAAUAAGCACCGGCUAACUACGUGCCAGCAGCCGCGGUAAUUC